UGUGCACAGCAGUCAGCAGGGAGGACGCUGGCACAGAGAAGGGGAAGGAUAAUUUCACAGGAAUCAAAUCCCCUGUCAAACGGAUCGUGGACAUGCCUCCCUGCCACCUCUGCUCUCAUAUCUGAUGUCUACUCGGCACUUGUUUUUUGCUUUGGAAGCUGCCAGCUUCCGACUGAUCCUACACUGCUAAACCUCCCUGACCAGGUGUGGCCUAAAAAAAAACCCAAACAACAAAGCAACACACAAGCUACUACAGUGUGUGGGAUGUUUCAGGGAGCAGUGAGAAGCAACACAAGCUCUCAACAGAAACUGCUGGCACAGAGUGGCAAAGCUUUGGGAGCAGCAGAAAGCAGCUGACUCCGUUUGACCUGCCUCUCUGUCCACACUCCAGCCAGGAGUGGGAGGGCUAACAUUAAAUUACAAGCCCAGAAAGCCCAGCCUGUGAACAAAUCACAUAUAAGAGCUGCCUAUUGUAUAAAUUGUGUUAAACCCUGUAUGUACACAGCUAUACUUACACCAGCUGUAAGAUUAACGUUAUUCACUUAAUUUCAGUGUGAAGGUUGGCCUUGCAGUUAAAGCACUUUGCCAGAGCUCAGGACACAGAAAUGUGUUUCACCUCUGACACAGACUUGCUGCAUCACUACCAUGGGCAAGACACUUCAUCCUGUAGUCUUUCUGCCCUCCCAGUAGUAAAGGAGGAUAUCUUGCAGAUGGAUGUUUUAAGAGGUGUAAACAAAAUGACUUUCAGUUAAAUUUAAAUGGGCACGGUUGGAUUACAGGCCAGAGUCUAACUUGGUGUGACCAGGAACAACACUAUUGACUUCAGCAAGGUUUUAUUCAAUUAAAUUGUGUAAAAUAGCCUAACAAA
Molecule: long non-coding RNA, 868 nt
Organism: Pseudopipra pipra
Lineage: Eukaryota; Metazoa; Chordata; Aves; Passeriformes; Pipridae
Exons: 3
Source: RefSeq, a predicted model, not a curated record